ACCUCGCAGACCCAGACCCUGCCCCCGCCCUCGCCUGACCCGUCUGCCCCGCCGAGCGCCCGGCGCGAUUCCGGCCCGGCGGCCGCUCCCUGCAACCUGGGCCUCUCGUUCUCUGACCGGCCUCCAGGGCAGGGGCCUUCGGUCAGGGCCGAGGUCCCCCACUAGAGGGCCACGAUCUGCCUACGCGGCUGUGUCGCCCCAGCGGACAGCGAGCGCCUCUGGAGCCGGCACGGCGUCCUCUUCCCUCAGAUCUGGCACCUAGUGGGGCCUAGUAGGCUGUUAAGUGAAAGGUAGCAGAGGUGGCGUGGGCCUGGCACUUAGUAGGUGCGCCCUAAAUGUUCGGUCAUCGCUGGAUCUAGGGACUUGCAAGCAGGCCUGGAGGUGCGGGGCGCUCUGACAUGUUGUCUCUGGGAUGACCGUGAGACCCGCGGCGAACAGAGUUGGAGGCCUGGCAACGGGUGCCUCCCAGGGGUAGACUGCAACAUCUCUGAGUUACAGGGGAAGCUAUGACUGUGCGAGCUUGCGAUACAGACUGAACUUCAAACAAGAUUAGACUACUGCCUGCAGACUACCAGAGACAACUAUUUAUUUGAAUGAACAGAAUCAUGGACUAAAAUAAAAGGGAAAUAAUAUGUCUGGAUAGUGGCAACACAUAGAAGCCAUCUGAUCCAACGCUGUUGGAGUACUACAGGGACAGUAAAUUUUAUCCUUACUUAGAAGUUUGGAACCAGUGAAAAGCUGAAAAUAUCAACUUUAUUACCAAUAAAGCUGAGCUGAAGAAUG
Orcinus orca (killer whale) is the source of this 783-nucleotide long non-coding RNA. RefSeq lists it as uncharacterized. The transcript has 2 exons. The record is from RefSeq and is a predicted model, not a curated record. NCBI's taxonomy places the organism in Eukaryota, Metazoa, Chordata, Mammalia, Artiodactyla, Delphinidae.